GGAGGGUGCAAGCGUUAAUCGGAAUUACUGGGCGUAAAGCGCGCGUAGGUGGUUAUUUAAGUUAGCUGUGAAAGCCCCGGGCUUAACCUGGGAAGGUCAGCUGAUACUGGGUAACUAGAGUAUAGCAGAGGGUAGUGGAAUUUCCGGUGUAGCGGUGAAAUGCGUAGAUAUCGGAAGGAACACCAGUGGCGAAGGCGACUACCUGGGUUAAUACUGACACUGAGGUGCGAAAGCGUGGGGAGCGAACAGGAUUAGAUACCCUGGGUAGUCCACGCCGUAAACGAUGUCAACUAGCUGUUGGAACAUCAAAGAAUGUUUUAGUAGCGCAGCUAACGCAUUAAGUUGACCGCCUGGGGGAGUACGAUCGCAAGAUUA
This 375-nucleotide ribosomal RNA is filed under the name uncultured organism. RNAcentral describes it as "partial 16S ribosomal RNA". It matches the Rfam family "Bacterial small subunit ribosomal RNA", at positions 527 to 896 of the family's 1533-position model. The record is from RNAcentral.